UGCAGGCCUAACACAUGCAAGUCGAACGGUAGCACAGAGAGCUGCUCUCGGGUGACGAGUGGCGGACGGGUGAGUAAUGUCUGGGAAACUGCCUGAUGGAGGGGGAUAACUACUGGAAACGGUAGCUAAUACCGCAUAACGUCGCAAGACCAAAGAGGGGGACCUUCGGGCCUCUUGCCAUCAGAUGUGCCCAGAUGGGAUUAGCUAGUAGGUGGGGUAACGGCUCACCUAGGCGACGAUCCCUAGCUGGUCUGAGAGGAUGACCAGCCACACUGGAACUGAGACACGGUCCAGACUCCUACGGGAGGCAGCAGUGGGGAAUAUUGCACAAUGGGCGCAAGCCUGAUGCAGCCAUGCCGCGUGUAUGAAGAAGGCCUUCGGGUUGUAAAGUACUUUCAGCGGGGAGGAAGGUGUUGCGGUUAAUAACCGCAGCAAUUGACGUUACCCGCAGAAGAAGCACCGGCUAACUCCGUGCCAGCAGCCGCGGUAAUACGGAGGGUGCAAGCGUUAAUCGGAAUUACUGGGCGUAAAGCGCACGCAGGCGGUCUGUCAAGUCGGAUGUGAAAUCCCCGGGCUCAACCUGGGAACUGCAUUCGAAACUGGCAGGCUAGAGUCUUGUAGAGGGGGGUAGAAUUCCAGGUGUAGCGGUGAAAUGCGUAGAGAUCUGGAGGAAUACCGGUGGCGAAGGCGGCCCCCUGGACAAAGACUGACGCUCAGGUGCGAAAGCGUGGGGAGCAAACAGG
Molecule: ribosomal RNA, 743 nt
Filed under: uncultured Enterobacterales bacterium
Lineage: Bacteria; Pseudomonadati; Pseudomonadota; Gammaproteobacteria; Enterobacterales
Description: bacterial SSU rRNA
Rfam family: Bacterial small subunit ribosomal RNA
Source: RNAcentral